Drosophila navojoa is the source of this 234-nucleotide long non-coding RNA. RefSeq lists it as uncharacterized. Lineage: Eukaryota; Metazoa; Arthropoda; Insecta; Diptera; Drosophilidae. The record is from RefSeq and is a predicted model, not a curated record.
UGCUGGCGUCCAUUCGCUUUGCUAGUGAAUCAAUCGUUGGCAACUGUAAAUGACAGAAAAAACACAGCUGAGGCGUUGACAACCAAAUGCGUACCACAAAAUGAGCGAUAAAAAUGGAAUUCUAAUUGUAAUCAAGCGAAAAAAAAAACAUACACAAAAAAUAAAAAAAGAAGAGCGGGGAAGAGAAGUGAAUUGAUAAGCGGAGCGUGUUUGAUCGAUAAAGAAGUGAGGCAG